This 468-nucleotide ribosomal RNA is filed under the name uncultured bacterium. RNAcentral describes it as "partial 16S ribosomal RNA". It matches the Rfam family "Bacterial small subunit ribosomal RNA", at positions 28 to 507 of the family's 1533-position model. The record is from RNAcentral.
GAUGAACGCUGGCGGCGUGCCUAACACAUGCAAGUCGAACGGAAAGGCCCUGCUUUUGCGGGGCGCACGAGUGGCGAACGGGUGAGUAACACGUGUGUAACCUGCACUUGACUUUGGGAUAUAUUUAGGAAACUGGGGCUAAUACCGGAUAGGAGCUCUUGCUGCACGGUGGGGGUUGGAAAGAUUCGGCGGUUUGGGAUCGACUAGCGGCUUAUCCGCUUGAUGGGGGGGUAGUGGCGUACCAAGGCUACGACGGGUAGGCGGCCUGAGAGGGUGAACGGCCACAAUGGGACUGCGGGACGGCCCAGUCGCCUACGGGAGGCAGCAGUCGAGAGUAUUGCACAAUGGGCGGAAGCCAGAUGCAGCAACGUCGCGUGCGGAAUGACGGCCUUCGGGUGAUAAACCGCUGUCGCCUGUGACGAAGCGGGAGUGACGGUAAUGGGUAAAGAAGCACCGGCUAACUACGUG